CGGGUGAGUAACACGUGGAUAACCUGCCUCACACUGGGGGACAACAGUUAGAAAUGACUGCUAAUACCGCAUAAGCGCACAGUACCGCAUGGUACAGUGUGAAAAACUCCGGUGGUGUGAGAUGGAUCCGCGUCUGAUUAGCCAGUUGGCGGGGUAACGGCCCACCAAAGCGACGAUCAGUAGCCGACCUGAGAGGGUGACCGGCCACAUUGGGACUGAGACACGGCCCAA
RNAcentral lists this ribosomal RNA (231 nucleotides) under uncultured bacterium. RNAcentral's name for it is "partial 16S ribosomal RNA". It matches the Rfam family "Bacterial small subunit ribosomal RNA", at positions 103 to 334 of the family's 1533-position model. The record is from RNAcentral. RNAcentral also lists the same sequence under 1 other name.